GGCGCCUUCGUCUAUCGGUUAGGACGUAAGAUUCUCAUUCUUGAAAGAGGGGUUCGAUUCCCCUAGGCGCUACCA
This 75-nucleotide transfer RNA is filed under the name Acidobacteriota bacterium. Its description in RNAcentral is "Acidobacteria bacterium tRNA-Glu". It matches the Rfam family "tRNA". From Rfam's summary of the family: Transfer RNA (tRNA) molecules are approximately 80 nucleotides in length. RNAcentral also lists the same sequence under 1 other name. Lineage: Bacteria; Pseudomonadati; Acidobacteriota. The record is from RNAcentral.